Molecule: ribosomal RNA, 429 nt
Filed under: Bacteroidota bacterium
Lineage: Bacteria; Pseudomonadati; Bacteroidota
Description: Bacteroidetes bacterium partial 16S ribosomal RNA
Rfam family: Bacterial small subunit ribosomal RNA
Source: RNAcentral
UAGGGAAUCUUCCGCAAUGGACGCAAGUCUGACGGAGCAACGCCGCGUGAGUGAAGAAGGAUUUCGGUUCGUAAAACUCUGUUGUUAGAGAAGAACAGCGCAUAGAGUAACUGUUAUGCGUGUGACGGUAUCUAACCAGAAAGCCACGGCUAACUACGUGCCAGCAGCCGCGGUAAUACGUAGGUGGCAAGCGUUGUCCGGAUUUAUUGGGCGUAAAGCGAGCGCAGGCGGUCAAUUAAGUCUGAUGUGAAAGCCCCCGGCUCAACCGGGGAGGGUCAUUGGAAACUGGUAGACUUGAGUGCAGAAGAGGAGAGUGGAAUUCCAUGUGUAGCGGUGAAAUGCGUAGAUAUAUGGAGGAACACCAGUGGCGAAGGCGACUCUCUGGUCUGUAACUGACGCUGAGGCUCGAAAGCGUGGGUAGCAAACAGG